Molecule: long non-coding RNA, 1266 nt
Filed under: Rattus norvegicus (Norway rat)
Lineage: Eukaryota; Metazoa; Chordata; Mammalia; Rodentia; Muridae
Description: long non-coding RNA NONRATT010088
Source: RNAcentral
CGUGACCACACCGCUUAAGAAGGGGUAAGGGCUGACCUGGGUUCUUGCCAGCCCCAGGUCGCCGGGUCACGUGUGCCCGUUGUUAUCAUUGACUUGGGCCCCAUGGGCACCCUAGUUCCCAGUUACCACAACUCAGGCCGGCUGGCCGGGCCAUGGGCUGCCCAGGUCACUAACCCCAACCCAGGGAGGAAAUAUUUCCCUCCUAGGGAGCCUCUUUUGACUUUUUUAAGAAAAAAAAAUAUCCAUUUCUUUCCAACGAUGAGGUUUAGUAAAUAUUUUUAGCACAUCACUUAGAAGACUCACUUUCCAAGUGUUCGUUCUUGCCACAGAACGGUUCUGGCAAGAAGCCCGUUUUUAAAGACCUGAGGAAGCCAGGCCCCUUUGAAUGGGGAACACUUCAAACACAGCCCGGCUUUCUAGCUGGACUGUCCAAGCUCCAGGAGCGCAACACCCGCAGAGACAGCAGGAAGCCUGGCUGGCCGGCCCAGCAUGGCAUGCAGAGCCCGAAGGGGGAAGGCAGUCAAAGGCAGCCGCCCCCCCCCCCCCGUGCCAGGCCUUGGCCAUGGUGGGGCAGUAUCCCAGUCCCAAAGAGGCCAGGAAGGGCUGAAAGGCAGGGCCCUUAGGUGCUUCCUGCCCAAGAAUCAGGCCCCCAAAUCAGCAAUAAGGAACAAACCCUUCCUUUAGCCUGGGCUGGUGACCCAGGCUCCCAACACCUGGCCUCCCGCCUUGUCCUUCGGCGGCAUCAGGGUGCCUCACUCCGAAGUCCUGACAUCUUUAUUUGCCUAAUUUAUAUAUAUAUAUGAUAUACAAAUAUAUAUGACAUAGCUAUUUUGCUUAAAUUUCUAUGAUACGUGAAAGUGAAAAAUGAUGAAGACAGACUGCCUGUCUGAGUUUGGCCUCCUGCCAGCCCCGCCCUCUCCUUGUAGCCCUCCCAGUGGCUUCUGCCAACCUUAGAAAUGAAACCUGCCCCUCAGACCCUCUGCCUCCAACCCAUCUCACUUCAGUUUGAUCUGGAAAGUUCAUUGCAGGGCCUUUCUUUCUACUCCAGGCCUGGUUUUGUUUUUUGUUUUGUUUUUUAUUAAAAAAGAAAAAGAAAACACCACGUAUGAAAUGCCUUACAAUGCCCACUCUAGAGAGGGGGUGGGAAGGGCGGGGGAGGGAAGGUCACUCGGUCUCCCUCAGAGCUGGAAUGUACCCCUUCCCAGCAGGCUGAGCAAGCAAGCACCUUCUGAUCAUAAUAAAAACCUUGGUUCUGGAGUUUUCCAC